GUGAGGAAUAUUGGUCAAUGGGCGAGAGCCUGAACCAGCCAAGUCGCGUGAAGGAUGAAGGUUUUAUGAAUUGUAAACUUCUUUUGCAGGGGAAUAAAGUACGGUACGUGUACCGUUUUGUAUGUACUCUGCGAAUAAGGAUCGGCUAACUCCGUGCCAGCAGCCGCGGUAAUACGGAGGAUCCAAGCGUUAUCCGGAUUUAUUGGGUUUAAAGGGUGCGCAGGCGGGUUGAUAAGUCAGCGGUGAAAGUUUGCAGCUUAACUGUAAAAAUGCCGUUGAAACUGUCGGACUUGAGUGUAAAUGAGGUAGGCGGAAUGCGUGGUGUAGCGGUGAAAUGCAUAGAUAUCACGCAGAACUCCGAUUGCGAAGGCAGCUUACUAAGCUACAACUGACACUGAAGCACGAAAGCGUGGGGAUCAAACAGGAUUAGAUACCUCGGUAGUCC
Molecule: ribosomal RNA, 445 nt
Filed under: uncultured bacterium
Lineage: Bacteria
Description: partial 16S ribosomal RNA
Rfam family: Bacterial small subunit ribosomal RNA
Source: RNAcentral